AGCCAAGGAGAGAACCCUGCGAUCGCGCCUGGCCCAGCCCAGCCCCUAGGCAACCUGCGCCCGCCGCUGCAAUGGAGUGCCCCAGGCGGCCGCAAAUGCGUCAAGGAAGGGGAAGCCACAGGCCCCAGUAAGCCAAAGUCAAGCCCGUUUGCCAACCUGCGUGUCCAUGCCUGUAAGCCCUUCUCUCGGCCAAGGAAGAAAGGAAGAAAGAAAAAAGAAACCCAGGGGCCUGUAUCCCCUGAUUAAACACAGCACAGCACUCCAGGCAGACAUGCCCGGUGUCGGCUCCUUUGCACCAUUGACCUCAGGCCAGACACCUCAGCGCCAACAAUGGGACCUCGGCCUUCCGGCUAGGUUUGCCCCAGGCUGGGCAGGAAACCAGCUCAGCCGAAGACAGGGGCCAUUUCGAGCAGUGGGACCCCAAGACAGCAAACCCAGCCCAGUCACGACUUGACACUUAGGACAAUAUCUAUCUCUAUAGAAUUUUAGCACGAUAUGGCUUUUUCUCCCAGAAAACAACAAAUAAACCAGCACCAAGCAGACACAAAGAAACAAAAAGUCAGAACAAACCAGCCCUGCACAGAUGUAACGGCCCAGGAGAUGGCGAGUGUAGGAGGGAGGAACAGGGCUCCAGCACAGGUGCGAGUUCCUGGGCAGAGGCUGAAGACAGAGAGAGGGGACCAGCGCUCGGAAAGUGAAAAAACUGCGUCGCCUGGAGAUUCAUCAGGAAAAAUUAAAGUUGGCUGUGAGCUCCCGGAUCCGGUUUUCUCUAUUCAUUUUCUUCAGUUUCAUCCUGCGGUUCUGAAACCAGAUUUUCACUUGUCUGUCCGUGAGGUGGACGCUGCGGCUAAUCUCUAGGCGCCGCUCUCGAGUAAGGUACAUGUUGAACAGAAACUCCUUCUCCAGCUCCAGUGUCUGGUGCUUCGUGUAGGGGCAGCGCUUCUUCCGACCACUCUUUGCGGUGAGCCAGUUGGCUGCGUUUUCACCUUUGGAAUUGCCUGGCAUGUAAGAGAAUAAAGAGGGGAUGAUUAAGUCGAGGCCACACGGGCUGCCCGCGGGGGUGAAUUGCCUCGGUUUCUCCCAUAAGACAGAUGUCCCAAGUCACAGAGAAGAGAGUCGUGCCCCCGUUUUUGGCUUGCUGAGAGCAAGCAGUUCCUCCAACAGUCAUGAUAAAAAUUGAGUGGGCCUUCAAUCUGCAUGACCCUUCCAAUUUACAUUUCCCCCACUUUUCCAAACACCUGUUUUAGCACUAAGCCGUAGAUGCUUGCAGAAGGAAAGGCCUGGGAGGGCAGGCUGUACAUCUUGAACUUAACGCUUUUCUUUGCUUCUUGCCAUAUGGCAGACAAGCAUUUCCUGUAGCCCCCAGGCUAGGAGCACGGGGUGCUUUCUUGGAAGGUAGGCCAGGCAGCUUGGCUGUCUCACCCCAAGGCCCUGAUUGCCCAAGACUCGAUAAGGGGAGAAAGAAGGUCAUCAUUGGUCCAAUGGGGAAGGCAGGAAAAACCGAUUCGGGGGUCAAGGGCCCUCCCUCAAGUUUCUCCAGGAGCCAGGGGUAGAUAGCUGGGCGAUUCCGAGGUCCAGGGGAAGCGAAAUAGCCCUUCUUUGGCUCUCAGCUCAGGGCCCCCAGCUUCCAGGCCGGAUUUGCCUUUUCUUCUUCCCGCAACGAAGAUUCCCGCCCCUCAGCAACUUUGAAAAAAGCAUGGGGGAUCGUAAACUCGAACUUCGCCGGUUAAUGGGCUUAUUUAUUGGCGCUGGCGGCUGCUUAUUUUGGAUGCCUUACAAACAUCCGCGCUAUCUGCGGGCGAGCUACUUUCCCUCCCUCCCCCUCCCCCCGCGUGGGCCGCGCCGCGCAGGCUGGGCAGGGACCAGGGCUCUGGGUGCUCCCGGCCACAGGAAAGAGUGCACAGGAGGCCUGCUCGCUGGUGUCCUCGACCCUAAUCAGGGGGAGCUGAGGCCAGCGCCGAGGACUUCUUGCUGUGGGGCGCUAAGCCGGACAUGAAUUUUACUGCGUCCCCACGCCCAAAUAUUAAAAAGCAAGUUCACAAGGUCAGCCUGCCUGCAGCUUGGGCCAAGGCCGGCCUGCUGCUGCGCGGGCUCCUAGUUUUCUUAUCCUUCUCCUCCUUGCGUCUGCCUGUCUGCCCGCCUGACUGCAGCCCUCUGCAGCCCUGCUUACCCAGGGAGUCCUUCUCCGGCGAGGCUUUGCUGCUCUCGGAAGGGGCCGGGGAGAGCUCCUCCGCGGCCGAGGACGACGCGUGCGCCUCCUCGUCGCCCUGCGAGCCCCCGCCGCUGCCGCAAGCCAGCGUGGGGGGCGGCGGCGAAUCGAGGGCUCGCUCCUUCCGGGCCGCAUCGGCCGAGCCGGAGGCUAGCGCGGGCGGUGGAUCGAAACCGCGCCCCGGGGGCUGCGCGGGGAACGGGCCAGCCCCGAGUUGCUGCGCGCCGCCGCCGCCGCUGCCAUAGCCCUUGGCCGUGCCGUAGGCCUGAGAAAGGCGGAAGUAGCCAGGCACUGGCACCCCGCUGGAGGCGCCCAGGGCGCAGCCGUCCGGCGGCGGGCCCCGCGGGAAGGGAGCCAGUUCGGCAGCGGUGGCCGAGCCUUUGGGGCAUUUGUCCGCCGAGUCGUAGAGGCAGUAGGAGCUCUCUUCUUUGAUGUUCUGAGCGAAAGAGCACGAGGUGGCCUGCGGCGGGGGUUGGGGUGGUUGCGGCGGGGGCGGCGGCUGCUGCUGGGGUGGCGGCGGCGGCCCCUCAGGCGGCUCCAUCCGGCAGGACCGGGGCGCGUCUAGCCACAGGUCUAUGGGCGCGGGCCCGUAGCCGUGCGCCCCGGGACCUAGAACCCCGCCACCGCCGCCCGGCGACGCUGCCUCAUUGCGCUUGCCGCCCAGCGCAGGGAAGAGCCCGCAGCUCUGCAGCCCGUAGGGCAGGUCGGCGGCGGGCGGCAGGUAGACCCCGCCGUGGGCGUAGUAACCGCCACCUCCGCCGCCCCCCGCGCCACCGCCACCGCCGCCUGCCUCGCCUCUGCCCGAGCUGAUGAGCGAGUCGACCAAAAAAGAGUUCGCGGCGGGGCUCUCCGAGCAUGACAUUGUUGUGGGAUAAUUUGGCGAAGGGAGCAGAUAGCCCUUUCUGGCUGACAUUUCUUGUGCAAAACAUGCUGAAUACGAUUAGCAAUCCCCCCGCACCGCGGCGGGCGCCCGCAGCCAAUCCCGAGCCAGAGUUUCCGCGCGACCACUCCCAGUUUGGUUUCGUAGGCGCGGGGCCGCUCUCCGAGGGCGCCCUCAGAGCCCGCGAUUGAUAUAAAUAUGUAAUCUGUAUUGAUGGGCCAGGAGACGCACGCCCGACACCUUGGCCCGAAGGCCAGGAGCUGUGGGGGCUGCCCCAACGUGGCUGGUGGGGGGCCUGGCCAUUGGGCUCGCCCCGCCCCUACCCGGACGUGAGCCCCAUACCGGGGUCCGUUAGAAGCGCCCUUGGGCCCCGCGCAGUUAACAAGUGGGGUGUUUAUGGUGCGUGCCCAGUCUGCCUUGGGUGCUCACCAUCCCUGUGGCAGAAGCUGCCACUAGUCCCCGGUGUACUCUGACCACUGAAGGGGCCAUGUCGGGGACUCACGCGCUUCCCAUUCAGCUCUGGAUCUGGAGCUGGCCCCUUGUCUGAAUUCUGCCUCCCUAAAAGUGGCGAACCUGGCCCUAUGGCCGUCAGGAUUCUCAGAGUGUCAGGAGCCCAGAGUGAACUGGAAGCUGACUUGCCUCUACUUCCAGUAUCCAGUAUCUACUUCCAGUAUCCCACAUUUUUCCCCAAAAUGCAGUGGUUGUUCCCUAGCCCCUAACCCCCAACACUUUUCUCCCCUAGUCCGUUGAUCCAGUUAGGAUCUUCUCCUCUGGUGUUGUGCUCACCUAGCUUGCCUUCUCUACAACUCCUGUCAGUGGACUUUGGUGGGCUGGCAGGACUGGGGGUGGGAAGCGGCUGCCAGCCUUGAUGGAAAGACGGCCCCACUCCCACUCCCAAGGCCAGAGCCAGAUUCAAGCAUCCCCUCAUGACCUAGGGAAGACUCUAAGCCCACAGUCAUUUCGGGGAAGUAAAGUGCUGGCCCUGGGGUCCUUGGCUGGCCCAAAGUGAGAGACUUGGAGGGGUGUGCCCGGUGUACACCUCUGCUGCCUUAUGUUCCUGCUCUCCUGUUAGCUUUGGCACUCAUAUGCUCCUGGAGGCUACAACAAGAACCAGUGUCACUACACUCCUGCCUCUCUGUCCCCUCCCCUCUUCCCCUCCCUCCCAUACCCUCAGCUAGGGCAGUCCUUGCUCCUGUAGUGUGUGCAUUUUAACGAGGCCCCGGUGAGGAAAUCCCUUCCCUGCAAGGCCGGGCUGGGUUCCUGGUCCUGUUAUAAGAGCAUGUGGAGGCCAGGCCCUUUGCUCAGCAGGCUCACGGGCUCUGUUUUAGCCAACUGGAAAUGGUCGGCCUGGGGUGCUAGCUCCCAAGUGUGAGCCUCAUGCUAGUCUCAGGAAAUGCAACUUUUUCCGGCCAGAUCCAGUGGAGCCCGGGAGGUCGCUGCCUUGGACCUGGCCUGUGGGCUACAGGUCUCCAGGAUACUCCAGGCCUGCCCGCCCCUCCGGCUCCAGUCGGAGCUGGCAUUACUGAACGCCGGCAUCCUAGGAAAUAGACGGCUCAGGCCGAUGCCUUCAGCUGGGAAAGACUCUUGCAUCCGGGUCAUACGCGGCACUUCGCCUCCUUCCUCCCAGUGUGAAUCCAGCCCAAGGUGGAAGACGAGCCUGAGAGGACCCUGAAAGCGCAGAGAGAGCUGUCUAGGUAGAGCUCCAGCUCUGGCUUCUGAGAUUCAAGCAGCUGCGGUCGCUGCGGGCCGUGGCUGCUCCGAGCUCCGGGCCCAGAAGGCCGCUCCACCGCUAGCGCGGCACUCCAGCCACUUCAACCUCGGCGCCCCACGGUGACCCGGCCUUGAGGACUGAGCAUCAGGGUGCCGAGGAGGAGGAUGGAGAGAAAAAGAGAGAGAUAGAAGGAGAGACGGACAGAGGGAGAGAAAAGAGAGAGAGAAACAGGAGGGGAGAGAGAAUAAGAAAGCCAGUUCUCUCCAGCCUGACAGGGUCUUGAAGCUGCAGCAGCGGCUUAGAGGAAUCAAGACAGGGUCUGUGCCGAGAGAUCAUUAACUCUCCUUCGCUCUUCGCAUGCUCCUGCGCCCAAGGCCAAGGCAAAUUCUCUACCUGCUAGGCCCAUGAGACGGACGAACCUGAGUGCAGAAAAGCUUCAGAGCACCGCAGCCAGUGGCCCUAUCUUUAGCUUCCCGGAUCUGCCUGGUCCUUACUCUGCUCACCAGACGGGUGGAACUGGCUGGGACUGUUGCCCUUAGCAAUGCCACCUGGAAAUGCCACAGACCUGGGGACUGCCUAGGAAGGAAGCUUUGCUCUUCAGCACUGCCCAUGCCUCUCAGAAAAGCUGUGUCAUUUGGGAAGUGGGUCGCAAGAGCUUCGAGGUUUCCUCAUGGAUAAUGAGCCGUAGCAGGUCAGUGGGCCAGGACUUGGGCCUAGAGUCAUGCCUCUCCAGGCUAAAUGCAGAAAGCAACUUCCCAGGCCGACAUCUGGGAAGGUCCAGUAUAUGUUUGAGAUAGUGGAGGCCAUACAAAUAAAGUAAAAGACAAUGAUCUUAACCUAUCUUUCCUAACCUUUUAGGGAGACAGGACCCUUCUGGAAAAUCUAAGUUUUGACUCAUUCUGUGAAAAAUGCAUAUCUGUAUAUUCCCACAGUUUGAUCCAUCAUUUCAAAGGAGUUGACACACCCCUCAGUCUUUUCCUUGGGUCCUCCAGAGUCCCCCAGUGUCCUGGGACUUGGGGGCCCUGCCAAUUUGGCUGGUAAGACAAGCUGGGUGCCCUGCGGCAGACAGCUCGGGUCAGGGCCCUGUAGGGCAGCCAAAUGGGCUUCUAGGCUGAAUAGAAUCCAGGGACCUGCACGUGCCAACCAAGGUUACAAAAGUCAGUUUGUAUUACAUCUGCUACAAAAGGCUGCCCCAGCUGAAGAGUAGAGGAGCUGGAAGGCCUGCUAUGGGCCUCGUAGGCCGUGGCAUUGGCACUUGGGUCUUCAGUGACCUUUCUGUGGUGAGCCAGAUGUGUUUUUUUAGCAUGACUUUUUCCCCCUUGUAAUAAACCAAACGGGAUGUUGGGCUUGAGCUCCUUCUUGCUUUUAAAAAGAGUGUGUAAGCUCGUGUAUGGCAGCCCCUCUCUGGCCCAGGACUGCCUUCCAACUCCCACCAGGGCUUGCUGAGCGGGAAACGCAGCGAGACACUGCCUGUGAGCUGGCCGGCUGCAGGCGGGCCAGCUGCUGCUGGUUCAAAUGAGAGGAUACUAACGCAGCAGAAGCUCAAGUUAAACGCCUCCUUGGCCCUCUCAGUUGAUCUCCUAGCCCCCAGCAUCCCUGACCGACCCCCAAGGCUCCCAUGCUCUCUAGACUUUAACACUGAAGUGUUAGGUUUCUCAAUAAAAUAUUCCACUUAUUGAGCGCCUCGGCUUUCCUGAGAUUCC
This is a long non-coding RNA of Pongo pygmaeus (Bornean orangutan), 6503 nucleotides long. RefSeq lists it as uncharacterized. The transcript is spliced from 2 exons. The record is from RefSeq and is a predicted model, not a curated record. Lineage: Eukaryota; Metazoa; Chordata; Mammalia; Primates; Hominidae.